GAUGAACGCUGGCGGCGUGCCUAAUACAUGCAAGUCGAGCGAACAGACGAGGAGCUUGCUCCUCUGACGUUAGCGGCGGACGGGUGAGUAACACGUGGAUAACCUACCUAUAAGACUGGGAUAACUUCGGGAAACCGGAGCUACUACCGGAUAAUAUAUUGAACCGCAUGGUUCAAUAGUGAAAGACGGUUUUGCUGCCACUUAUAGAUGGAUCCGCGCCGCAUUAGCUAGUUGGUAAGGUAACGGCUUACCAAGGCAACGAUGCGUAGCCGACCUGAGAGGGUGAUCGGCCACACUGGAACUGAGACACGGUCCAGACUCCUACGGGAGGCAGCAGUAGGGAAUCUUCCGCAAUGGGCGAAAGCCUGACGGAGCAACGCCGCGUGAGUGAUGAAGGUCUUCGGAUCGUAAAACUCUGUUAUUAGGGAAGAACAAAUGUGUAAGUAACUAUGCACGUCUUGACGGUACCUAAUCAGAAAGCCACGGCUAACUACGUG
RNAcentral lists this ribosomal RNA (497 nucleotides) under uncultured bacterium. RNAcentral's name for it is "partial 16S ribosomal RNA". It matches the Rfam family "Bacterial small subunit ribosomal RNA", at positions 28 to 507 of the family's 1533-position model. The record is from RNAcentral.